This 274-nucleotide ribosomal RNA is filed under the name Staphylococcus aureus. RNAcentral describes it as "partial 23S ribosomal RNA". It matches the Rfam family "Bacterial large subunit ribosomal RNA", at positions 2282 to 2555 of the family's 2925-position model. The record is from RNAcentral. Lineage: Bacteria; Bacillati; Bacillota; Bacilli; Caryophanales; Staphylococcaceae.
GUCGCCUCCUAAAAGGUAACGGAGGCGCUCAAAGGUUCCCUCAGAAUGGUUGGAAAUCAUUCAUAGAGUGUAAAGGCAUAAGGGAGCUUGACUGCGAGACCUACAAGUCGAGCAGGGUCGAAAGACGGACUUAGUGAUCCGGUGGUUCCGCAUGGAAGGGCCAUCGCUCAACGGAUAAAAGCUACCCCGGGGAUAACAGGCUUAUCUCCCCCAAGAGUUCACAUCGACGGGGAGGUUUGGCACCUCGAUGUCGGCUCAUCGCAUCCUGGGGCUG